GGUCAGGUCGGGGGGGUCCCUCCUGCAUGCAAAUAGGGGAUCUGGUCAGGUGGGGGGGUCCCUCCUGCAUGGAACUGGGGAUGGGGGCUCUGGCCAGCUGAGGACCCCUCCUGCAUGGCACUGAGGGGUUCUGGUCAGGUCGGGGGGGUCCCUCCUGCAUGCAAAUGGGGGGUCUGGUCAGGUGGGGGGGUCCCUCCUGCAUGGAACUGGGGAUGGGGGCUCUGGCCAGCUGAGGAACCCUCCUGCAUGGCACUGAGGGGUUCUGGUCAGGUGGGGGGGUCCCUCCUGCAUGGAACUGGGGAUGGGGGCUCUGGCCAGCUGAGGAACCCUCCUGCAUGGCACUGGGGGGUUCUGGUCAGGUCGGGGGGGGUCCCUCCUGCAUGCAAAUGGGGGGUCUGGUCAGGUGGGGGUCCCUCCUGCAUGGCACUGGGGGGGGGGGGGCAAGGGGGACAAGGAAUGAAGAUGGGGCAGGUGACACCAUCCCUAGCCAUGAGGACAUGGGGACCCUCGCUGC
Molecule: long non-coding RNA, 514 nt
Organism: Leopardus geoffroyi (Geoffroy's cat)
Lineage: Eukaryota; Metazoa; Chordata; Mammalia; Carnivora; Felidae
Exons: 3
Source: RefSeq, a predicted model, not a curated record